UACGUAGGGUGCGAGCGUUGUCCGGAAUUAUUGGGCGUAAAGGGCUCGUAGGCGGUUUGUCGCGUCGGGAGUGAAAACUCAGGGCUUAACCCUGAGCCUGCUUCCGAUACGGGCAGACUAGAGGUAUGCAGGGGAGAACGGAAUUCCUGGUGUAGCGGUGAAAUGCGCAGAUAUCAGGAGGAACACCGGUGGCGAAGGCGGUUCUCU
RNAcentral lists this ribosomal RNA (207 nucleotides) under uncultured bacterium. Its description in RNAcentral is "partial 16S ribosomal RNA". It matches the Rfam family "Bacterial small subunit ribosomal RNA", at positions 524 to 730 of the family's 1533-position model. The record is from RNAcentral.